Molecule: ribosomal RNA, 339 nt
Filed under: Actinomycetes bacterium
Lineage: Bacteria; Bacillati; Actinomycetota; Actinomycetes
Description: bacterial SSU rRNA
Rfam family: Bacterial small subunit ribosomal RNA
Source: RNAcentral
UGUUUGGAGAGUUUGAUUCUGGCUCAGGACGAACGCUGGCGGCGUGCUUAACACAUGCAAGUCGAACGGAAAGGCCCUUUCGGGGGUACUCGAGUGGCGAACGGGUGAGUAACACGUGGGUGAUCUGCCCUGCACUUCGGGAUAAGCCUGGGAAACUGGGUCUAAUACCGGAUAGGACUUCUGGCUGCAUGGUUGGGAGUGGAAAGCUUUUGCGGUGUGGGAUGGGCCCGCGGCCUAUCAGCUUGUUGGUGAGGUUAUGGCUUACCAAGGCGACGACGGGUAGCCGGCCUGAGAGGGUGUCCGGCCACACUGGGACUGAGAUACGGCCCAGACUCCUAC